GAAAGCAGAGUUGAUGCACAUUUUUUUUUGUCUAGGGUGGUAAAAUAAUAGCCUAGCAUAAGCUAUGGAGGGAAAAUAAGUUGUUAUGGUGCUUGCAGUGUCCCUUUAAUAAAACUGAAGCUAAGGACUGGGGAACCUGUUAACAGCAAACAAUGGAUAGCUAUAAAUGCAAUUAGCACAGGAGGGAAGAUAACUAUGCAUUACAUGCCUUGCAUAGUGCACCUUUAACCAGAAGCUGUUGUUUC
Molecule: non-coding RNA, 245 nt
Organism: Pelobates cultripes (western spadefoot toad)
Lineage: Eukaryota; Metazoa; Chordata; Amphibia; Anura; Pelobatidae
Source: the annotation of a GenBank genome assembly